Molecule: ribosomal RNA, 468 nt
Filed under: uncultured bacterium
Lineage: Bacteria
Description: partial 16S ribosomal RNA
Rfam family: Bacterial small subunit ribosomal RNA
Source: RNAcentral
GACGAACGCUGGCGGCGUGCUUAACACAUGCAAGUCGAACGGAAAGGCCCUGCUUUUGUUGGUUGCUCGAGUGGCGAACGGGUGUGUAACACGUGAGUAAACUGCCCUUGUCUUUGUGAUAACUUCAGGAAACUGGGGCUAAUACCGGGUAGGAGCUCCUGCUGCAUGUUGGGGGUUGGUAAGUUUCGGCGGUUUGGGAUGGACUCGCGGCUUAUCCGCUUGUUUGUGGAGUAGUUGCUUACCAAGGGUUUGACGGGUAGCCGGCCUGAGAGCGUUACCGGCCUCCAUGGGACUACGGGAGGGACCAGUCUCGUACGGGAGGCAGCAGUGGAGAAUAUUGCACAAUGAGCGGACGCCUGAUGCAGCAACGCCGCGUGCGGGAAGACGGCUUUCGGGGUGUAAACCACUUUGGAAUGUGACAAAGCGUGAGUGACGGUAAUGGGUAAAGAAGCACCGGCUAACUACGUG